Molecule: long non-coding RNA, 2122 nt
Organism: Carassius auratus (goldfish)
Lineage: Eukaryota; Metazoa; Chordata; Actinopteri; Cypriniformes; Cyprinidae
Source: Ensembl
UAAAAAGGUUCAGUACUUAGAACACAGAAAUAAUAAAAACAACAGAGUUAUGUCGCAACUCUGGUAUAGUGAUAUGCAGUGGGAUAUACAUAUGAAAUAUGUUGCAUUAUUUGUCUACCAUAUAAUACCUGAUGAAUCUAGUGUCUUAAAAUUAUGUUAAAGCUAAGGCUAUUUGGUGAAAAUUGUUUGCAGUUUAUUUUUUUACAAAUAAGUGAUACAAAUGCAUAAAACACAAAUUUCUUUUUUGGCAAGUCAUGAUGGCUGACGUUGUUCAUUGGUCAGGCAUCGACCAAUAAGAUUUCUUCAUUCAUACCAAAGCCCCGCCCCCAGCUCUGCCCUCUAUCAAAUGCACAAGUGAGUUUUGUAACAGGAAUACUGCAAUAGUCAGAGCGCUAGGAUUUGAACUUGUACUCCAGAUCUGAGAGGUUGUAAGUUGUGCAGCAAAUGUAAAUAUGUCGUAAAGAUUUGUGUAUGUCAUUUUUGUUGUGUUCUCACACAAGUGUUGUUUGAUAAUGCAUUAAACACAACUCUUUUUUUUUCUUUUAUGUGAAUGUCAUUCUACACAUUUGUAACUAUUCAUCUCCACGGGUGUUUUGAUCAUUGUCAGUGUGUGCAAAUUGAAAGAUUCAGCUUUUUACAUCGGAGCUGCCUGUGAGUGAUUUAAAAAAAAAAAGAGAGAGUUAAUAUGACAAGUUCUCACAUUAAGAUCAACAAGCGAGUUUUGCUACUGUUUUACCUUCAUAGAAACAUUUGUGACAACUAGCCCCGCUGCAGCGUGUUCGUGAUUGAUGCUGAUGAUGGAGUGUGACGCUGCGCGGACGCGACGAUCUGAUUGGCUGGACGCUCUUGCCGCGACGCUCUUGACGCGCUGUCCUGCAGCAGCGGCUCGGGGCAGACGCUCGCUCGCGGAGGUGAUGCUGAAGACGCUCUCGGCUUCUGUCAGAAACGGCCCUCAGCUGAGAGACGGAGGACCACGACAUCACCAGCUGGAGAACAAGACUGUGAGUGAGAGAACUUUAAACAUGCGUGUGUCUUAUUAAUACUGUGAGACGUUACAUGUUUUUAGAUGUUACAAGUGGCACUAUUACCAUGUACAGAAUAUUUGAUAUACAUGUGCUAUUAAUGUUAGUAAGAGUGUGAAUGAGGAUGCAACAUAAACACAGUUGUCUCAAAGCUGAUAGUGUUACACUAUCUGAAAAUAACUCUAAAUUAGUUCUCUAAAUUACAGGUUAAUAUUUCUUAGUGUAGCUUCUUCUGUACUCCUCAGCUACGUCAGGACAUUAAAAGAAAAUAGUAUUUAACUGUUAUUCUAAAAUAUAAAUUGUAGCAGUUUAAAACAUUUGUUUCUUUAUUUGCUUUUUCAGCCAUUUCUGAGUUUUGUGGCUUGUCAUCCAUCCAAACCUUUGAUUUUCUCUAUAAUAAAUGUACCAAACAUUUUUAAAUUAAGUACAUUGUGCUUAGGACUUUACAUAUUACAACUUAAUCUUGUUUUUAGGUGUACAUUUUUCAAUUUUUAUAACAUACCGGUAGUUGUCAUCAUUAGUACUGUCGUUACCAUCAAGCUAAGGAUUUUAAAGAAUUUAAAUUAGAUUAAAAAAUCCUCCAUUUAUUUUUAUUUUCCUAAAUUUAAAUUUGAAAGUUACUCAAAUUUUUAAAUUAAACUGUAAAAGUAAAAGAUGGCCUAACUCAAAAGAAUAUGGCAACCUAUCACACUCAGCUUCUUACUUUUAUUCAACUAGCAACAGGCAAAUUAAAUCUAAUUAAUCAAUGUCUGAGUGUUAAAAGAUCUGUCAGAGCAACCAAAGUUUUUUUUUUUUGCAUUUGGCAAUGCUAAUCUUUUUUUAAUAAUACUCUUUCUUUUAGAUUUCUGAUAUUUUCAAAGCCUUCUACAUAAUACAGGUUGUAUUUGACUCUUAAAAUUAAGGCAAACAUUUAUGUUGAUAAACAAAUGUAUUAAACUAGCUGUAUUGAGAUGCACGUAUACAGUACUUUAGCACAUGAUUCUCAGCCAUGGUGAGGAUAUUGUUCAGUUUGAAAUUGUUUGUUCAGAUGAAUCAAUUUGAAAAGUUGGGAGAGCAUUUGGAUGUGUUCAGAUACUUCAGUAUCUAAGUAAGGGUAAACA